Triticum aestivum (bread wheat) is the source of this 7931-nucleotide long non-coding RNA. RefSeq lists it as uncharacterized. The transcript has 5 exons. NCBI's taxonomy places the organism in Eukaryota, Viridiplantae, Streptophyta, Magnoliopsida, Poales, Poaceae. The record is from RefSeq and is a predicted model, not a curated record.
ACCCCCUCCUCUCCCCGCCGCCGCCCACGACGGCAUCUCCUCGCCUCCCUCAACUUCGGGCGUUCUUCUUCCAUCCAGUCUAAGUCGAGCCUCGCGAGGGAUUCCGACGCCGGUGGGGAUCAAUCCGAGGCGAUGCUUGCCAGUGAUCCGGCGCAGGAGGGGAUCAACCCGAGGCGACGCGUGCGAGGAUGCGAUGUUCAAUAGGAUCCCGCCGGUAGCAGAUGUGCGGCGUCUCAUCUUCCCCGUCACCGUUGCUCCUAGCUGCAGCCACUCGUGCACGUCACCGCCAGGUUUAGUUCAAUCGCUUCUGUAUAUGAGACACUGUCUGAUGCUUAGAUUCAGUGCGCCACUAGUCUCAAGGGAGAUUUGGAGGAGGCCGAGGCUUGGAACACCGAAGACAUGUGCUUGCGUCAGCUUGAUGCCACUCCGCCACUGCAGGCGGAUUACCAUGGUCGGCUGGAUUGACCUCCCCCAGAUUCACCUGCAUCACGCAUCUCGGCUUGAUCGACUGGAUACCAUAAAGCGCUGGAUUCCUUCGGGUGCCUUGCCGCAGCUGAAUCUCCUCGAGCACGUUGUCUCCCUCCCGCACUGGAUCCCCUCGGAUAUUUGAAUAUCAUUCCGGUCUUAAAUUAUGUUCCUGGAGAGAAAUACAGGAAACUGAGCUACUGGUACGCUGCCUGAUCUUCUUUGUCCCCAACGGAUCUCCUCUCGCAUGAUCUUGCGACGGUCGACGUGCAGAAUUGAGAGGACUUGAAUGUGGUAAGGACCUUUGCUACAUCGGCUAACACAACAGCAAGGAUUCGCUUACUCAUUAUUAUCCAUUGCUCCAGCCCUAUAUAACCUUGCAGGUUAGGUUAUAUCGAUGAAUAUUAUUAAAAAAAACUUCAUACAUUACAACAAUGUGAUUUAUUUCUGGUUCCAUAACAUCUAUUUGUGGUCUGCACUCUGGAAUAUGCUUGCAACAAUCGAGUAAAAGGAAUACUUACUGAAAUGGCCAGCAUUUCCGUCAACUAUGGUAUUUGAUCUUUACUACCACCAGUGUUUCUCAGGUGUAUUUUUUAAUAUUUUUCUCUUUCCCCCAUUUACAAAAAAAAUAUAUCUCUCUAUCAAAAAAAACUUCAAAAUAGAUGAGCGCAGCAACGCGCACCAACAAUGAUCUAGUAUAUAAAGCAAAACACCAAGCCACAAGGUCUAACAAGAGUUCACGCUGACGCGCACACACAGCCGCACUCAAGGUAGCACAAUAUAUACUCCUAUAAAAGACUCGGUUGGUGAUGAUGGUGUGUCUGUCAUCCGUCAUUUUUGACCAUUAGAUCUGCAUCUAACGAUUGUGAUGUAAGUUAUGGCCUUUUUACAACAAUAUUCCACUUAUCUGCUUCAAUUUACAGAAAACCCCUUAGUAUCUUGAAACCAAACCACAUUCCUCCUUUGUUUCAUCAAAACAGUCCAAGGAAUAUAAUUUGAGUGAAACAUAAGAUAUUAUUAGUCAUAUAUGUAUAUCAAAACUAGACUUUUUUCUUUGAAAUUUGUGAAUAUGUAGUACUACUUCAGAUCCGUUGCAACGCACGGACAUAUUGCUAGUUUGGGACUAGACUUUGUUGUUGAUGUGUUUGUGUUGCUGCACAUGAAUUUGUUGUAUGGUUGUUUUACUUUUUUAUAAAAAAGAUGAAAGCCUGUUUCGACAGAGAGUAAGUGUGUACCAGGAUCGCGACGCCAUCACCUCCAUCAUUGCCGACCUUCGCUCGAUGGCUCUCCGCUUGGCGCCGCCGCUCCCUCCGCCACCUCCAGAGCCGGAUUAGAUCCUUUGUUGCUGCUUCGGAUGCUGCGGUUGACCCGCCUCCUUUGUUUAUUUCCAGGACUUGUUGAGUUGUCCUCUCAGCAGAACCGUUUGUACUUUGUGUUGUGGUACUCUGUGUGUGUACCUUGUUGUACUUUGUGGCUCUGGUGGUUUGCUUUAUCUAUAAAGCGGGGCGAAAAUCUUUUUCGAUAAGUGCGUACCAAUUUUAAAAAGAAAAUGGAAACGCGAAGAAAACGUAAAUUGCUUAAAAAGAGAGACCUAUGCCGUAGGGCAUGAGCAUGACUUGACCUGGCGUGCUACUGCUGCAGUGGGAAUCUCACACUAUUCACUCACGCACGCGGCAGCGAAGGAAUCCAAAGGGGUUCAGGCACAACCAUGCCCAUCAUAUUAAAGCAGAUUCUGUAGUUUUACGUGUCAUUCUCUUCACACGUGGCUACGAGAUCAGACUGAACAAGACACCGUAGUAGAAGAAUACAUCAGGUUUUUUCCUUCUUCUAAAAUGCUGCUGCUGCUCACAGCAUUGGAUCAGGCUUCUAUUUUCUGCGACAUGUGGUGACGAGAUCAGACUGCAGAAGAAUACAUCAGUUACUUGUAGCAUACAAGACAAUGGGGGUGGGUGGUUGCACUCACAGCGUCAGGUGCUGCUGCUCCACUAGACACAAACCACUCUCUGGCUUGCGCUGCUAGACUGCCACAUUCCAGCAUUUACUUGUGGUGACUGCCUUUAGUGGGAUCUGGGAAGGAUGGAUGCAUCAGCUGCAGCGAGAAAUCAGUUCAGAGUUUAGCUGAUAGCCAAGAACGCUGGUGUUCAAGCAGUUCAACGGCUAUGCUGCAGAGAAGAAGGCCAGGUAGGGCAGCCGGACAAUCUCUCAUUUCCAGGGCAUGCAUCUUCACGAGCAGGAGAACAUUAGGAACAGUUGAAGGUAGUGCCUGAAGAACACAUAACUCAAAUUCUCUAGACUAGAUGGUUGAUGCAACUGACAUACGGGGGACAACGAGUAGGAGAAAUGGAAGUUUGGGCUUUAGAAGGAUUUGGUGUUGCUCAUAUUUUACAAGAGAUACUUACUUAUAAAUCUGACCAUCUUAUAGCUCGCCAAGAAAUACUUGAUGCUACGAUCUGGGGAAAAAGAAUACCUAAUCAUGAGGAUCCUCCAGAAUCUUUUCGAGUGCUCGUUCGAGAACUACGAUCUUUGGCUCUAGAACUGAAUCAUUUCCUUGUAUCCUGCUAGCCAAAUAUUUCACUUGAUCAGAGCUUUGGGUUGCUUCUUCUUCUUAGUUUCCUUUUCCCCCUUGGGUUAGAGAGUUUAGAUGUGUGGCCCUUCUCUACUUUGCUAUUUCGUCCGUACAGUCUUGUCUCUUCUUUGCGCUCUUGUAGAUAAUAAGCCUAAGGGUUAUUACAGAUCUUUGGUCGAUGGACCUGAAUAGCAUGUGAUUCCAUGCGGCCCAGAUCUUUCACAGAGAGGUUAGUAGAACCAAAGGCCACAUAUUGGCCUGCAUGUCGUGUGGCAGUGUUGUGCCCCAUAGCUCAUCGACGUCCUCGGAUAUAGGUGAAAUACCCAAGCGUUGCCAAACUCUAUCAGCUAGAGGGCAUGAAAUGAAAGAGAUGCGAUGUGUCUUCACAUUGCUCAUGGCACCGAGGGCACACAUUGUUGGUGAUGAUGUGCUUGUGCGCGAGGUUGGCGUGGGUGUUGAGCCUGUUUCUGAAAAGUAGCCAGGCAGAGACUUUAAGUUUUCUGGGCACCUGUGCCCUCCAAAUGAUUGGAGUGUUCCUGUCGAGCUCAGGUUGUCUUCUAUACUUCUAUACUAUUAUUAAAAGAGCAAACAUGACUUCUCUCAAAGCCACACAACAAAUUGUACAUAGAAUAACCUGUACCGUCAGAUCAGAUCAACCUAAGCACAUCCUACUGCCUAUAUUACACGAACGGUCUGUCGCCUAGAUGAACGUCUGAGAUGAAAUGUUCUGCCGAGCAGACGCGUGGUCUGCGAUUCUUCUAGCGCUCCGCGUUCCCGAUCCCGGCGGCCCCGCCCACAGCCCCGUGAUUUUUGGGCACGAUUCCCCUUUUAUCUCUCCCUAGAUCGAGAAAUACGGAUCCGCAGCAACGUUGCGCCGCCGGCCCUCCCUUCCCUUCCUCUUCGAUGCACUUCCUAAUCCACCCCGAGAUAGACGCUGCGGAGGUUGGCCUGGCGCGGGGCUGGUGAGCGUCGAGGGGUCGCAGCAGUAGAGGGGGAGGUCGGACAUGGCGGGGAGUAGGCGGCCAGGCGCGCGGCAAUGAAGGUGUUCCGCUCGGCGAUCUCUUCCGGUGGAGCGGGAGGUGGUUGGAGGAGGAGGAGGGGGCGGGCGCCCCUGCAAUUCGCGAGGCCGAGGAGAGCAGCGGUUGGCCCCACAGCGAGGCCAGCGAGAGGUUGAGUCGCUCGAGCGCCGGGAACCAGAAGAUCGGCGGGAGCAGCGAAGUCGGGCGUCGUCGGGUCCCUGCGCAGCGCCAUCACGCCCUGCGUCACCCGCUCCGCUGCCAGUAGCCUGCCGCACUCCAUCGAGGCCCGGUGCCACGACCGAGGGUCGCCCAGGAAGCCCACGAGUGGACAACCAGGAGGCGACGUGACGGCGAAGGCGGCAAGAACGGCGUCGCAGUGGCUGCCGGGGCAGCAGCUUCACACUACCACACCGCCCUAGGCUUCAAAAUCUGGUAAUGCAACACCCCCUCCGCCUCCUUAGUUCGGAAAUUGGUUGGUGGUGUACAGUGGAGACUAAAAAUUCAGUGGAGGCUUCUUUCCACAAUUAUGUUCAUCUCAGCCAUAAGAUAGAGAGAGAUCAAUAGAUAACAUAUCUUUCAGUAAAAAGUAAAUUGCAGCCUUUGUUGAACCGUAGGUUUGCAAGUUUCUAGGAUCGAGACUUACAAACGUGUAAAUGCAAUUAAUUAGACUGGCCUACUCCUCUACAACAUUGCUGAGAUUCAACAUUCAGGAGAGUAUCACAUAUGGAAAAUCCUCUACAACUGACCAGACUGUUCGAAUUGUUUUUGAUGGUCUUUAUUUGAAUUUUGUAAGUGAAUAAGCAGGAAAGCUUCGAGAGAACUCAGUGCAUCAUUUCUUAUGCAACUGCUACUGCAAUCGAUUCCUUUCCAAGCGCUGGUAAUAUCUUUCUACAGAGCUUUUUCCUUUGUAUGCAAAUGUGAAAGAAAAAAUAUAUCCUGGCUAUGGUAUGUGGAUUAUUAUUCUCCUUAAACAACUGGCACAACUACUUUCUGUCGGUGAAGGUGUUUCAGAUAGUAGAGCCACAAAAACACUCUAAAUCUAGGAAUGCAGUGAGUAUGUGAUGUUUUUUUUCUUGAUGUGCAGGGUGGUACCAUUGGAUAGUUGUUCGUCAGGACAAUUUUGUUUGAAGUUCAAGCUGGUAUCAAAUAUUUGCUCUGGUGUUCGUAAGCCAUAGAUGUACAAAUGAUGUUAUUUCUUGAAGUCAAUUUGAAAUUUAUGUCCAUUAUGAUUAACAAAUAAACUACUCAUCAUGAUCUUAUUUGUAUAUUUUGAAAUUGUUUCCUGGUUGAUGUAUUAGGAAAGCAUGGUUAGUCCAAAUUUAAAUAGUAUACUGCAGUUCAGUUGAACAUAGUAAGUAUGGUUUAUAAGAAAUGAUCAAAAUUAUCUGCUGUGAAGAACACGUUAGGCUUCUGUUUUCAAUCUCCCUGUACUUCCAUGGUUCCAUAUCUUCUCUUAUAGGUUUGUUAUCUUGUCUGCUUGUAGAACUGUACAACAAGUUAGUUUGUUAUUCAAGCAAAAUCCAUUUAUUAUACAAAGUGUGCAUGGAUUGCUUGAUUACUGGGAUUGUAGACCACUAGGUAGUUCCAAAUUCAUUUAUUUUGUAGAAUUCCGCAGUCAAAAAAUUAUGGUAGCCCACUAGAAUUGUAUAAGGUUUGCUUAUUUAGCGCAGACUUUGUAAUUUGUGGCCAAUGGCAAUUCCAUAUUAUUUAGGCAGUUGUGAAUUCUAUGAAAUAUGGAUGAAAAGUUUCAUUGCAGAUCAUGUAUUUUUCUUUCAGCAUUUCAGUGUUUUGACAUAUUUCAGUGCAAAAUAAACUAACAUCUACAUGUCAAAGAGCAUCUUGAUGCAUAUAAAGAAUGAGUGGCGCAUCAAUGACUUGAGUUUUAUGGGUUUAUAUUGUCUCGCGGAGUCCCCUUCCCUCGAAACUGGGCAAAUAGGUAGGUGUGUUUACAAGAUUCUUUUGGUUUCCUGAGUUCAUAUACGUUGAUACUCGGUAGACUACUGUGAUUGCUGAGCUCCCGACGAAAGAAAACUCGCCAAACUUUGAACUUGGCAUGCGAGAUGAUUCCAGUGGUGUCUGUUUGUGUGUAACUGACAGGAACAUUCGUCGCUUCAUGUAAAAAAGAUCCUAUAUGCCGCAAUAGGUGCAAGCAAGCGUUUUCCUGUAUGACAGGAACAUUUAUCGAUUCAUGCCAAUACAUUUUUUAUUCAAAUAAUUGUCUCUUAACUAUGAUGAAUGAGGAAUUAUCAAGUGUUUUAUACGUGCGUUGCACGUGCAAAUGCACUACAGAAAAAACAUUUAUGCUGAUAUGUACUCGGGGUAGGGUUCGGCGAGUGUAAAACUCGGUGAAGUGCACUUGGCAUACACCUGGCAUGGGGUUUGUGAAAAUACUACUACUUAAGUAAAGCACCAACAGAAGUGGGUGUAUUGAUGUGUCGUAUCUAUGUGCUUGUGGAAUGGUCGGCACUACAAGUUUAUUUUACCUGACUUGAUGAAAUUUACACACAAUGAUAUCAUGUGUUGGUUCUAUUACUUCACCAUCUGCAUCAUCCUAAUUGCUAAGUGUAACAUUUCAGAAAAGUUGGAACCGCCAUUCUCUGUACAAUCCAAUUGUUUUAAAUAAUUUUAUCACGUGUUGUAUUCUAAUUAUUUUAUUCAGAGGUUGUAUGUGCUGAGAAGUUGUCAGUUGUGUGGUCAGUGAUCUAGAUUUAAUUUACUCCCUCCGAUCCAAAUUAAUUGAUGCUGACUUAGUACAAUUUUGGACUAAAGUGCUACUAAGUCUUUGUCAAUUAAUUUGGAUCGGAGGGAGUAGCACACUUGACAUAGUAAUGAGAAUAUUUUAGCAAUGGGAUAACGUUAUCUGAACUUUUGUUUUACUUGCAUCUUGGUUAGGGUCACUGUCACCAGUGAGCAUUUGGUAACUGGGCAAAGGAUUACCCACAUGUGGUUGGAAGUGAGCGCUUGGCUAAAACUGAAGUAGAUGAAGAGAGAUCAAAGGAGGCAAAGUUCAUCAAAAAGUCACUGUCUGCACUGGGUGAUGUUAUUGCUUCCCUUGGCUCCAAAAUGCCCACGUCCCAUAUAGGUUGCACAUUAGCAUUUUCAGAAAUCAACAUAUGUUCAAGUAAGUGCUCUUCACAAAUGGUGCAUGAUGUUCUACUAUUUAUAUUUCAGGGAAUUUUUUCUGGACAAAGGAAAGGACAAGCUAUAUAUUUGUGAACUUGAAGCAAGUUCCUAUUUUUAUAGCUAUGUGAAAGAAAAACAUUUAUUUUAUGGGAAAGGCAGUCAACAGUCUGCUUCUUCUAAACAAUGUGCAUGUUUUUUCACCCUUUUUUGUUUGUUUGUAAUACCACUGAUUGCAUGCAGCAGUUUGUUAGUACUAUUCCUUUCUCCGGGUGAAUUAUUGUAUUUUUCUUCAAAUGCAUGUUCCAGUAUAGUAUUUCUUUGUAUUCCAAAUGCACGGUUUUAUUCAAAUAAUUAGUUUCAAUGUGCCGCCAUCACAGGUCAUCAGAAUCAUUCGUAACCUGCAGAUUUUUAGAUUUGAGUUGUAAUCAAGUUGGAAAGCUGUUAGCUUGCACAACCUCAUUGGUUGAUCAUUGUAGAUACAAGAGCAUUAUACAUGACACUGUCUUGUUUGUAUCUUACAGCGAAUAAGAGGAGGCAGAGGCACAACCAACUAAGAAUCAUCCCAGGUGAAAGGUGCAAAGCUUUCAUCGCAUGGAUGUCCAGAUGGUGGUUAUCCCAUGGCAUAUGGUAGUUUUCUUUAUAGAAGAUUAAAAAUGUAGCAAUGCUAGAUAUAUGUGACUAGACUUUCUGUGUAAGCUCGUGUCUUGUACUGAAUUUUUGAAAAAUGCCAAUUGAUCAAGACUUGAGUUGUGGUCAGA